RNAcentral lists this long non-coding RNA (732 nucleotides) under Calidris pugnax (ruff). RNAcentral's name for it is "lncRNA (ENSCPUG00000006572.1)". Lineage: Eukaryota; Metazoa; Chordata; Aves; Charadriiformes; Scolopacidae. The record is from RNAcentral.
GAUGCAGGCCCUGAGAGGUUAUAAAAUUUUUGCUGCUACUUACAGAGAUGAUUUAAUCAUUGAGAUGGUAAAAACACCUGAGAUUUGUGGCAGUUAUCUGUAGAGUUUAUAAAAAUCAAAAAAGCUAUAUAUAUUAAUCCGUUAAAUGUUCUUUUGUUUUGUAGGGGAUGUUUUCUCUGGCGUUUUCGGGAUGAUGCAUUGGUGGAGACUGGAGCUGCAAAUGUUAAUGCUGUUGUAGGUUUUGCCUCCAUGGACUGAGAAAACAAGGCCUUUUUCCAGGAUAAUUCAAUGGAUCUCUGUGAAGCAAUACCUUGAAUGUUUCUUAAAGCUCCAAGCAAGCCCCGUGAGAUGCUUCUGCCAGAGAACUUCUCAAGUGAUGUUUCCUGUCAGGAGCCACACAUAUUCUAGCAUUGAAGAUUUUUCAGGAUUUCUCCACGCACUACAUCGGAUUUGGCGCACCCUUCACUACAGACCAAACUAUAGCAUUUUCUAGUGCUCACUGACCCAAAGGAGCCACAGAAAAGUUAUGAAGCAUUCUACUCUGCGGAGAGUUAGAUCUAUGGGUUUGAAUAAGAGUAAGACUUCAGUAUAAUUCUUGAACUACAACUCGAGUAUCAGCCCCUAACCCUCGGCUUAACUGUAGCUUUAUGAUACAUGUCCGCAAAGAACUUACUGUACAGCAUUUGACCUACUGACGAGAGAAUAAAUAUGUAAACUUGUUUAUCUGCUACA